CCCUUAGACACUCUAGGCGGCACGCGCGCUACAAUGGGUGGAAGAACGUGUUACUGCCUCCGAAAGGAGGGGUGAAUCACGAAUUCUUGCCAGUGAAUGGGAUAGUUUGUUGCAAUUUUCGGACUUGAACUAGGAAUCCCUUGUAAACAUGCUCAAGAAUAGCGUGUUGAAUACGUCCCUGCCGUUUGUACACACCGCCCGUCGUUUCUUCCGACUGAUACUCAUUGUGAGUUGCAAGGACCCUUUAUUGGGAAAUUGCUGCAAAUGCUUUGUAUUGGAGGAAGAAAAAGUCGUAACA
RNAcentral lists this ribosomal RNA (298 nucleotides) under uncultured eukaryote. RNAcentral's name for it is "partial 18S ribosomal RNA". It matches the Rfam family "Eukaryotic small subunit ribosomal RNA", at positions 1470 to 1796 of the family's 1831-position model. The record is from RNAcentral.